UACGAAGGGGGCUAGCGUUGCUCGGAAUGACUGGGCGUAAAGGGCGCGUAGGCGGAUGGCACAGUCAGAUGUGAAAUUCCCGGGCUUAACCUGGGGGCUGCAUUUGAUACGUGUUGUCUUGAGUUCGGAAGAGGGUCGUGGAAUUCCCAGUGUAGAGGUGAAAUUCGUAGAUAUUGGGAAGAACACCGGUGGCGAAGGCGGCGACCUGGUCCGACACUGACGCUGAGGUGCGAAAGCGUGGGGAGCAAACAGG
RNAcentral lists this ribosomal RNA (253 nucleotides) under uncultured bacterium. RNAcentral describes it as "partial 16S ribosomal RNA". It matches the Rfam family "Bacterial small subunit ribosomal RNA", at positions 524 to 776 of the family's 1533-position model. The record is from RNAcentral.